GAUUAGAUACCCCACUAUGCUUAGCCCUAAACCCAGAUAUUUAACACACAAAAAUAUCCGCCAGAGAACUACGAGCAUAACGCUUAAAACUCUAAGGACUUGGCGGUGCCUUAAACCCCCCUAGAGGAGCCUGUUCUAUAAUCGAUAAUCCACGAUCCACCUCACCAUCUCUUGCCAGUACCGCCUAUAUACCGCCGUCACUAGCCUACCCUAUGAAGGAUAUAAAAGUAAGCAAAACAGCCAACAAUAGCUAAUAAGUCAGGUCAAGGUGUAGCUAACUGAGAUGGAAGAAAUGGGCUACAUUUUCUAAACUAGAAAUUAUCUCACGGAAAGAACCAUGAAACAAGUUCUACAAGCAGGAUUUAGCAGUAAACAAGGAUUAGAAUACCCAAUUUAAGCCGGUCCUAAGGCACGCACACACCGCC
This 425-nucleotide ribosomal RNA is filed under the name Chelonoidis niger. RNAcentral describes it as "partial 12S small subunit ribosomal RNA". It matches the Rfam family "Bacterial small subunit ribosomal RNA", at positions 776 to 1394 of the family's 1533-position model. Lineage: Eukaryota; Metazoa; Chordata; Testudines; Testudinidae. The record is from RNAcentral.